RNAcentral lists this ribosomal RNA (240 nucleotides) under uncultured bacterium. RNAcentral's name for it is "partial 16S ribosomal RNA". It matches the Rfam family "Bacterial small subunit ribosomal RNA", at positions 80 to 334 of the family's 1533-position model. The record is from RNAcentral.
CAAUCCAUGAGUAAAGUGGCGUACGGGUGAGUAACACGUGGGUAAUCUACCUUCUGGUGGGGAAUAACAUUGGGAAACCGAUGCUAAUACCGCAUAACCCCGCAAGGGAAAAGGGGAAAUUCGCCGGAAGAGGAGCCCGCGGCUGAUUAGCUAGUUGGUAGGGUAACGGCCUACCAAGGCAAUGAUCGGUAGCCGGCCUGAGAGGGCACACGGCCACACUGGCACUGAAACACGGGCCAG